This 117-nucleotide non-coding RNA is filed under the name Homo sapiens (human). Lineage: Eukaryota; Metazoa; Chordata; Mammalia; Primates; Hominidae. The record is from Rfam by way of RNAcentral.
GCCGGGUGUGGUGGCUCACUCCUGUAAUCCUAACACUUUGGGAGGCUGAGGCAGGUGGAUCACUUGUGGUCAGGAGUUCAAGACCAGCCUGACCAACAUGGUGAAAUCCUGUCUUUA